CCAGGGGGCGGUGUGCGCCCCCGGCGCUGGAGCAGCCGCGUUUCGGGGACCCGGGCAGGCGUGGGGGGCUGCGCUGAGCUCCAGGCCUCCUGCAGGUGCAAUAAGAAUCGUAUUACUAAUGUGGUGUCCUCUGGAAUGGUCACAUGAACACAGUUCCCUGCAGAUGUAAUUGGGAGAGAAGGCACAGUCCUGACACAGGGUAAGACUGUGGAGGUGUAUUGCUGUCCCUACCAGCUGUGCCUUAACUUCCUCGAAAGACAACAUCAGUGCUGGCGGGCCUCAAGAAGAGCCAUCCCAAGGUAUUGACUAGGCAUCAGCGUCUUCACCAGGGCAACACAGAACAUCCCUGCAGAGUUCCUGGUGGCUGCAGUGGCUGGUAGGGGAUGUAUGCCUGCUUUCCAUCAGAUUCCCAAAGCGGAGCCCCUGGAGGCUUUGGCCCAUGGCCCUGAAGCUCCCUUUCACAAGGAAGAAAGACUUUGCAAAGCCAACACCACUAUUGGAGAGAAAGUGGAGAAUGUGUAUUAGAAGUACUAGUCUUUGAAGGCAAAACAGCUGUAUAGAGUGAGCUUAAGUGCUGGAUCCCUGUGGUUAGGAAGGGACACUAAGCCUCCGGGAUGUGAGAGUCCCAUGGAAGGCAGUAGGCCCAGGAUAAAGCAGGUGUCAGCUCAGAAAGCCCACCAUCACCCAGAAAAGGGAAGAAAUACGCUACCACCAUCACUCUUUCUGCCAAUGACUUCUUUGCACACCUCCACCCUAUCUCCUGGCUCAGUCUCCCAUGUUCUCAUAGCUAGGGAGGUCUCCAUUGUAAUUUGUAUGGGGAGGUUAACCUAUAGGCCAUUCUGAUGAUCCCAGCUCCCUUUCACUACAACCCCCGUCUGCAUCCUUUGCUUUGCAGUAGGAUUUGAGAGAGGAAGGAUGAAGAUGUAGCCACAGGAUACAUUUAAACAGGCACAGAGUUUGAGGGGUGGGGGGGAACAAAAGCAAAACAAUAAAACCUUCACCAGUCAUUAAAGAAAUGAAAAUGAACCUUU
RNAcentral lists this long non-coding RNA (1031 nucleotides) under Homo sapiens (human). Its description in RNAcentral is "HSALNT0331637". Lineage: Eukaryota; Metazoa; Chordata; Mammalia; Primates; Hominidae. The record is from RNAcentral.